Molecule: long non-coding RNA, 401 nt
Filed under: Mus caroli (Ryukyu mouse)
Lineage: Eukaryota; Metazoa; Chordata; Mammalia; Rodentia; Muridae
Description: lncRNA (MGP_CAROLIEiJ_G0013751.1)
Source: RNAcentral
UGGGAGGAAGUCACAGCAUGUGCUUCUGAACCUGUGCUUGCCUUGAGGAACAACGGCAUGACACGGGGAUGUGGACGCUUUCAACCAGAAGAUUCUGUACGAUAGUGUCGGCACACACUCAUCCUCGUCUACGGCCAAACGUUGGUUUCUCAUUUCUAGAAUGAAAGAUGUGAUGACUUAGGGAAAACUGGGAUCUUAGUAACUGUGGUGGGCACUGAGCCUUGCCGUCCACAAGAGAAAGCUUGCUGCUCGAGAUGUGAGUCUUCAGAUGUUCCUGCCGCCAUAUCUGACAGCUGCUGCCAAGAUUCCCUGGUGGGAUGGACUCUUAUACCUCGACAACCAGAAGCCCAAGUAAACUCUUCUAUAAAUUGAAUGACUCAUGCUUAAAAAAAACUAUCUUU